Molecule: non-coding RNA, 721 nt
Organism: Chiloscyllium plagiosum (whitespotted bambooshark)
Lineage: Eukaryota; Metazoa; Chordata; Chondrichthyes; Orectolobiformes; Hemiscylliidae
Source: RefSeq, a predicted model, not a curated record
CCCUAUUACUCUGCAUUUUGCCUGACGAUUGUACCUAAAUUACACAUCCCUGAACACUAUGGGCAAUUUCGCUUGGUCAAUUCACCUGAUGUGCACGUGUUCUGAAUAAUGGAGAAAACUUACUCACACAUGGGAAGAACGUGCAAACUCCACACAAGCUGUCGUCCGAGGCUGCAACUGAACUUGGUUGUCUCGCGCUGUGAGGAAGCAGUGCGAACAACUUAGACACAAGGCCACUGAAAUAAAAUUGCAUUGAACUAUAAGCAAAUUGGAGGAAAUCAGUCGGCCUACGUGUGAAAUCAGAAGAGACAAAAAAAAAAACUGCAGAUGGUGAAAUCCAAGGCAGACAAGCAGGAGGCUUGGAAAACAAGGGAAGUCCGGCAGCAUCAGGAGGUGAAGAUGUCAAAGUUUCGGGUGUGACAUUCCUUCAGUCCUGGAGAUGGGUAGAAUAAGGUGCCGUUUCCCACAACCUGCAGUCAGAUACGCUGUGGCAAAGAAGAGGCGAAGGAUGGACAUGCUGGAAAACGAAUUACAACAGUCAACAACUAGGAGGUCAGGCCGGCUCCUGCAGGCCAGGCUGAGAUGCUUAGUGAAACGUGGCCCCAGUUUACUCUUGCUCUCGCUGAAGACGAGUAGACCUUAUCCGAACCACUGGAUACAGUAAAUUAGUUUGGAGAGGAGAAGGUGAACAUCAGUUCUACCUGGAAAGACAGUUUGGGAC